GUUCGGGGAGGAUUCCGAGGGUUUCAGCUGUUGACGCUUUACGCGUUGCGGGCGCACGUCGGGCCGCUGUUUCCCGAGGGAAGGCAGGUGUGCCUCUGCGUUACAGGGAAAGGCACUUAGAACUGUCUGAGUGGCCCCGUAAGCCAGCGAGGGCGCAUUUCCCGGCGCGGACGGGCUGCUGGUGGUUUUGGUGGCUGCUCUCCGGAGGCACACCUGGCACGUCGAAGGGGGGCUUUAUAUGGCUGUAUUUGACUUGGCAAUUCCUGCUGAACAAAUAAUUUUUCAUGGCGGUCGUGUCUGUUCAAACCGGCACGGUCUGAUCCGGAAAUAUGGCCUCAAUAUGUGCCGCCAGUGUUUCCGUCAGUACGCGAAGGAUAUCGGUUUCAUUAAGUUGGACUAAAUGCUCUUCCUUCAGAGGAUUAUCCGGGGCAUCUACUCAAUGAAAAACCAUGAUAAUUCUUUGUAUAUAAAAUAAACAUUUGAAAAAA
RNAcentral lists this long non-coding RNA (488 nucleotides) under Homo sapiens (human). Its description in RNAcentral is "non-protein coding lnc-RPL36AL-3:1". Lineage: Eukaryota; Metazoa; Chordata; Mammalia; Primates; Hominidae. The record is from RNAcentral.